GAUGAACGCUGGCGGCGUGCCUAAUACAUGCAAGUCGAGCGAACAGACGAGGAUCUUGCUUCUCUGACGUUAGCGGCGGACGGGUGAGUCACACGUGGCUAACCUACCUAUCAGACUGGAAUAACUUCAGGACACCGGAGCUACUACCGGAUACUAUAUUGAACCGCAUGGUUCAAUAGUGAAAGACGGUUUUGCUGUCACUUAUAGCUGGAUCCCCGCCUCAUUAGCUAGUUGGUAAGGUAACGGCUUACCAAGGCGACGAUGCGUAGCCGACCUGAGAGGAUGAUCGGCCACACUGGGAGUGGGACAAGGGCCAGAAGGCUACGGGGGGCAGCAGUAGGGAAUCUUCCGCAAUGGGCGAGAGGCAGACGGGACAACGCGGCGAAAGUGAUGAAGGUCUUCGGGUGGUAAAGCACUGUUAUUAGGGAAGAACAAGUGUGUAAGUAAGGAUGGACGUCAGGACGGUAACUAACCAGAAAGCCACGGGUAACUUCGGGC
Molecule: ribosomal RNA, 498 nt
Filed under: uncultured bacterium
Lineage: Bacteria
Description: partial 16S ribosomal RNA
Rfam family: Bacterial small subunit ribosomal RNA
Source: RNAcentral